Molecule: long non-coding RNA, 95 nt
Organism: Ipomoea nil (Japanese morning glory)
Lineage: Eukaryota; Viridiplantae; Streptophyta; Magnoliopsida; Solanales; Convolvulaceae
Exons: 3
Source: RefSeq, a predicted model, not a curated record
CUUUCCAUGGUUUUUUCUUAAAUCCAGAAACUCAAAGAUAUCUGCAUGCCAUGGCUCAAGAUAAAUAGCAAAAGCACCUUCUAAAAGUAUCCUUA